UUUCUUUUUCACUUUUUUUCCCCCUUUUAUCAUUCAAUCGGUGGCUAUUUAUUUUUGUUAGCUAUUAUUAGGCUUGAUUAAUGGAUUUGAUGUGAUUAGCUUAGUUCCGGGUUUGCUUAUUUGGGUUGUGUUAUGGUUUAAUUUCUUUAGAGAUCUUUUUUAUUUUUUUUCCCGAGAGGGAAUGGGGAUUUUUUUUUAUUUUAACUUGCUAUGUUUUUGGGCAUAGAGUUGCCUUCUUUGUUUCCUUGGUGGCUAUGAGCUUAUUUGAACACCACAAUGUACAAUUAUUCGAAGGAUCUUGUAGAGAAUCAGUGGAGUUUAAACGAUGAGAACAUGUGUUGAGGGUAAAAUGGAAUGGAAAGAAGAUAUGAACAUCAAUGGAUAACCUGGAAUAGGAUGGCAUCAAUGAAGUUAUGAGAGAGAUCUUAAGUAAAAGAGUAAAGGAUGUUGCAUGAUGGUGUGACAUGUGUGAAUAAGCAAUCAAUGGCAUUAUUUGGGAACUUUUGUUACUAGUUAUGACCAUCAAUUAUUAACUAUUAACUUGUUUCUAAACAGCUCCUAUUUAUUCCAAACGUUUGGGUGGACUGAAGUAGGUUCUAUAGGCUGAUAUUUUCAGUAAUU
RNAcentral lists this unclassified non-coding RNA (621 nucleotides) under Hevea brasiliensis (rubber tree). Lineage: Eukaryota; Viridiplantae; Streptophyta; Magnoliopsida; Malpighiales; Euphorbiaceae. The record is from RNAcentral.